This 74-nucleotide small RNA is filed under the name Archaeoglobus fulgidus. The record is from RNAcentral. Lineage: Archaea; Methanobacteriati; Methanobacteriota; Archaeoglobi; Archaeoglobales; Archaeoglobaceae.
CAAAGAACCAGCAAAAACUAAGCAGUUGCUCGCACCAACGACGUCGCCGCUCACACCGCCGAAUUUCUCUUCCG